Molecule: long non-coding RNA, 1969 nt
Organism: Globicephala melas (long-finned pilot whale)
Lineage: Eukaryota; Metazoa; Chordata; Mammalia; Artiodactyla; Delphinidae
Source: RefSeq, a predicted model, not a curated record
GUGGCCAGAGAGGGGCAGACGUGAUUACAGAUGAAAGUAGAGGAAAGUGGUGAGCAGGGGCGGAGAGAGGAAAAGCCAGACAUAUGCAAUCGUUCUUCCAAAGGAUUUUAGAAGAGAUCAUUUAUUUGAAGUACUCCUGACAUGUUGAUGGAGCAACUCAAUCUUUUGCCAGUGAACGUUUAGCCUUUUGUUUUUCAUUUAUAGAUAUAUUUGAAUAUAUACUUAGGACAUGUAAUAACUAUGGAACUUCACUACAAACACAGCACUGAGGACAGACACGUUAACUUGAUGUGCACCUGGUGACUCAUUCGUCUUGUGGCUGCCUCUGGAUUCGUGAGUUUGGUGCCUAGAAAGAAAUAACCAACAAAUCAAAGUCUAUUUCUUUGAUGCACAUGUUGGCACCCUUUGAAAGAUCCAGAAAUCCACAUAUUGAACAUGAAUCUAGGGCUGCGGUUGCUGCAAAGGUAUCUUCCACAACUUGAUUUUCUAUAAUAUCAAUUACUCAGUCUUAUGCAGAUCCUGGAAGAUAUCAACUCCUAGGGCUAGUGCAGCAUCUUAUUCACCUUGGCAUCUACCACUGCAUGGAGCACAGCACCUAUCACCUAGUAGCAGAAAUCAGCAAUGCCAGCUUGAGAGCAAACUGAUGAGUUCUACGCAACGGAGCAAAGAGUCGUUGGCUGGAGUCUUGUAAAUCAGCGGAAGACCAGUGACCGAAUAGAUUCGUAUUAUUUUCCUGGAGUUACCCCCUUCUUUGACUCUCAGCUUUAAAUUUCAGAAGAGAGAAAAGAGGAAGAAAGUGGCAGAGCCUGGUGAGAGGAUACUAGAGAACAUGUCCUUGCUUCACAAUUUGGUUGCCAUAUAAACGUGAAUUGAGUAGAGCUUCCUGAGGUUGCACAGAGGGCUAAACUUCUGCUAGGACCAUGGGAAAAGCCUAGAGGGGCCAAUGGCCAAGGGAUGACCACUUCCAUAGAGGAAACACUCUGACCAGGCCCCACUAGGCACAAGACCCCCUUCUCCAGUGCUGUGUGGAGGUUGGAUUUGAAGAAGAGAAAGCUGGGAGCAAGAGACCAGUAGAGCUGUUGCCGUGGUACAGGCAGAGGCAACAGAAUAACAGGAAUCAAUAUAAACAACCUAAGUGGAAUACCUCGGAAAGAAAGAAAUAUUAUUUUUGCUGAUGCACAAGUUUUAUUCUGAAAAAUCAUGAAGGUCUCCAUUAGGAAAUCAUUCUUCCUUGGCAUUGUGUUGCAUGCUCAACAAAUAGAAGAUGGCUUUCUGGGUUGUGGAAAUUUCUGCCACCUCCUUCUACCAUAUUGGAACUGGGAGGAUUUCUGGAAUCAUCAGGUUCCACCCGGUGCUUAGAGGGAAUAUGGCUCCAUUAUCACCAUCUCCCAAGCCUGAAACCUGGAAGUCAUCACCAUUCACUUACAACUCUCUACCCAACUAUCAAUAGCUCACCAAGUACUGCAGAGCCUAUCGCCAAGUAUUUGAUCACUAUCGUCACCACUGCCAUAAUUCCCAAAUCAUCAUCUCUGGACUGCAAUCGCUUCCCAGGGUUAAGCUUGGAUUCCUGGAUUUUAUGACUUUUAAGAAAUGUACCUGGAUCCCUCAACACUGCUCUUGGAUCACUGGAAGGGUCCCAGAUCUCAGUCUCUGGGAUAAUCUUUAACAAAGCUGUGAAAUGGGCUUCCUCACUGCACAAAAGCCAUGGUCACUGGCACCUACAGGCUCAUAUCCUCAUUUCCAGAGAGGAAGGGGCUCUUAUCUCUCAGCUCCAAACAGAAGUCCUGGGGAAGGACUCAGGAGGGUCCAGUUGGGCCCCCUGUUCACCCUUCAACCAGUUGUGAUCGCCAGAGCUUAGCGAGGGCUCGAUCCCUCUGAACUGGACUACAUGGUGACAGCAGGGGCAAGAGAGGUGGACCUCCAGAAGAAUGGAUGGAGGUAGCACAGGCACGACUUUGGGGAGAAGUCU